CCGAGUCAUUCCGAUUUGUCACACUUUCGAUUGGACCCCUGGCACACGAAGGAGUGAGCGCCGGGAUUACAAUGACAUCAGGGUGGAUUCUCUUCAGUUUCGGCAGAGUUUGAACUGGCUACCGUGCAAAUUUAACCUGAUUAGGUACGGUAGGCCCAGGCUCCCCAGUUAUCCGCCUCCGACUCCAACUUGGACAGAUACCUAUUAGAGAAAAUUACAGGAAAAGCCGUAAAUAAAAAUACCGGAUAGCUUCCGCAUUUUUCUCUGGAAUUCCUGGAUACGGUUCGUCUCUUCGGGUACCAUUACAGAGCUGUGAGACGAAUCCCCUUGGCCGCAGUGACAAUGCAAAAUUGUGUGUUGACCGCUCGUCACGUCGAUAAAUCAGGUAUGUGUAAUAGACGUUGAGUGCUCUCGAGUAUGCACACGUGCCGGACAUGACACACGACACACCGCACCGUAACACAUGUAGAGUGUUGUAUGAUUGCGGUGGUGUGAAUCUGUCAAAUGAAUGUCGUUACUAACUUAGAAUAAAACUAUUCACGUGCCGUAGCACCGUUAAAUCUCGUCCAAUCUUCGAGGAAUGCCAGUUAUGACUUAACUUACAUACCUAUAGCGUACAACGCAAUCGUAUGUACAAUGUACUUUUUACAGAUUAGCUUUUUUGGAUCGAGUAUAUAUAAAUAGAGCGAUUUUUUAUAGACA
Cotesia glomerata is the source of this 702-nucleotide long non-coding RNA. RefSeq lists it as uncharacterized. NCBI's taxonomy places the organism in Eukaryota, Metazoa, Arthropoda, Insecta, Hymenoptera, Braconidae. The transcript is spliced from 3 exons. The record is from RefSeq and is a predicted model, not a curated record.